AUGUUUCAAGAAACCCGGUUUCCAUGGAAUGGAUCUUUAGAGUUAUGUUUCCCUUACAGAAAGAGGUCAGGGCAACCUCGUGAGUUUGGGAUUAACAAUGAGGGAGUUGAUCUUGGUGACAAUCGCGUGAGUUCUGAGGAAAAAGGGGGAAUACAACUGCAGAUUAGAGCGUGCUGGAGGCCAGAGCUGGUCGUGAAGCCACCACAGUGA
Non-coding RNA from Vicia faba (fava bean), 210 nucleotides. Lineage: Eukaryota; Viridiplantae; Streptophyta; Magnoliopsida; Fabales; Fabaceae. The record is from the annotation of a GenBank genome assembly.